This 86-nucleotide transfer RNA is filed under the name Cryptomonas gyropyrenoidosa. Its description in RNAcentral is "tRNA-Ser". It matches the Rfam family "tRNA". Rfam says of the family: Transfer RNA (tRNA) molecules are approximately 80 nucleotides in length. Their secondary structure includes four short double-helical elements and three loops (D, anti-codon, and T loops). The record is from RNAcentral. Lineage: Eukaryota; Cryptophyceae; Cryptomonadales; Cryptomonadaceae.
GGAUAAAUGACUGAGCGGUCGAAAGUGCUAGUUUUGAAAACUAUACUAUCCAAAAAAUAGCGUGAGUUCGAAUCUCACUUUAUCCU